AUUGAACGCUGGCGGCAGGCUUAACACAUGCAAGUCGAGCGGAGAUGAGGUGCUUGCACCUUAUCUUAGCGGCGGACGGGUGAGUAAUGCUUAGGAAUCUGCCUAUUAGUGGGGGACAACAUUCCGAAAGGAAUGCUAAUACCGCAUACGUCCUAUGGGAGAAAGCAGGGGAUCUUCGGACCUUGCGCUAAUAGAUGAGCCUAAGUCGGAUUAGCUAGUUGGUGGGGUAAAGGCCUACCAAGGCGACGAUCUGUAGCGGGUCUGAGAGGAUGAUCCGCCACACUGGGACUGAGACACGGCCCAGACUCCUACGGGAGGCAGCAGUGGGGAAUAUUGGACAAUGGGGGAACCCUGAUCCAGCCAUGCCGCGUGUGUGAAGAAGGCCUUAUGGUUGUAAAGCACUUUAAGCGAGGAGGAGGCUACUGAGACUAAUACUCUUGGAUAGUGGACGUUACUCGCAGAAUAAGCACCGGCUAACUCUGUGCCAGCAGCCGCGGUAA
This 500-nucleotide ribosomal RNA is filed under the name uncultured bacterium. RNAcentral's name for it is "partial 16S ribosomal RNA". It matches the Rfam family "Bacterial small subunit ribosomal RNA", at positions 30 to 523 of the family's 1533-position model. The record is from RNAcentral.